RNAcentral lists this non-coding RNA (30 nucleotides) under Rattus norvegicus (Norway rat). Lineage: Eukaryota; Metazoa; Chordata; Mammalia; Rodentia; Muridae. The record is from RNAcentral.
UGUGUGAGAAUCCAGUGAUCUUCACCCGAG